Molecule: ribosomal RNA, 380 nt
Filed under: uncultured bacterium
Lineage: Bacteria
Description: bacterial SSU rRNA
Rfam family: Bacterial small subunit ribosomal RNA
Source: RNAcentral
UCAGGCCUAACACAUGCAAGUUGAACGGCAACACGGGUGUUUGCUCCUGGUGGCAAGUGGCGAACGGUUAAGUAAUAUAUCGGAACGUACUUUAUUGUGGGGGAUAAUGCAGCAAAAACUAUGUUAAUACCGCAUAAUCCUUAAGGGGGAAAGCGGGGGUCCCUAAGCCCUUGCGCAAUUAGAGCGGCCAAUACCUAAUUAGUUAGUUGGUGAGGUAAAGGUUCACCAAGGCAACAAUCAGUAGUUGUUUUGAGAGGACGAUCACCCCCACUGGGAUUGAGACACGCCCCAAAUUCUUACGGGAGGCACCAUUGGGAAAUUUUGGCCAAUGGGGCCAACCUUAAUCAAACAGUGCCGCUUGAGUAAAAAAGCCUUUCGGG